UACGUAGGGGGCAAGCGUUGUCCGGAAUCAUUGGGCGUAAAGCGCGUGUAGGCGGCCUUGUAAGUCCGUUCUGAAAGUCCGGGGCUCAACCCCGGGAGGCGGAUGGAUACUGCAAGGCUCGAGUACGGAAGAGGCGAGUGGAAUUCCUGGUGUAGCGGUGAAAUGCGCAGAUAUCAGGAGGAACACCAAUUGCGAAGGCAGCUCGCUGGGACGUUACUGACGCUGAGACGCGAAAGCGUGGGGAGCAAAUAGG
This 253-nucleotide ribosomal RNA is filed under the name uncultured bacterium. Its description in RNAcentral is "partial 16S ribosomal RNA". It matches the Rfam family "Bacterial small subunit ribosomal RNA", at positions 524 to 776 of the family's 1533-position model. The record is from RNAcentral.